GAAUUUUGGACAAUGGGCGCAAGCCUGAUCCAGCCAUGCCGCGUGUGUGAAGAAGGCCUUCGGGUUGUAAAGCACUUUCGGACGGAACGAAAUCGCGCGCAUGAACAAUGCGCGUGGAUGACGGUACCGUAAGAAGAAGCACCGGCCCACUACGUGCCAGCAGCCGCGGUAAUACGUAGGGUGCAAGCGUUAAUCGGAAUUACUGGGCGUAAAGGGUGCGCAGGCGGCCCCGCAUGUCAGGCGUGAAAUCCCCGGGCUCAACUUGGGAAUGGCGCUUGAAACUACGGGGCUGGAGUGUGGCAGAGGGAGGUGGAAUUCCACGUGUAGCGGUGAAAUGCGUAGAGAUGUGGAGGAACACCGAUGGCGAAGGCAGCCUCCUGGGCCAACACUGACGCUCAUGCACGAAAGCGUGGGGAGCAAACAGG
RNAcentral lists this ribosomal RNA (425 nucleotides) under uncultured bacterium. RNAcentral's name for it is "bacterial SSU rRNA". It matches the Rfam family "Bacterial small subunit ribosomal RNA", at positions 359 to 776 of the family's 1533-position model. The record is from RNAcentral.